GUGUCAGCAGCCGCGGUAAUACGGAGGUGGCAAGCGUUGCUCGGAAUCACUGGGCGUAAAGGGCGCGUAGGCGGGGAGGUAAGUCGGGUGUGAAAUCCCUCGGCCCAACCGAGGAACUGCGCCCGAGACUGCUUCUCUUGAGUCCCGGAGAGGAAGAUGGAAUUCCCGGUGUAGCGGUGAAAUGUGUAGAGAUCGGGAGGAACACCGGUGGCGAAGGCGGUCUUCUGGACGGUGACUGACGCUGAGGCGCGAAAGCGUGGGGAGCAAACGGGAUUAGAAACCCCCGUAGUCC
This 292-nucleotide ribosomal RNA is filed under the name uncultured bacterium. Its description in RNAcentral is "partial 16S ribosomal RNA". It matches the Rfam family "Bacterial small subunit ribosomal RNA", at positions 505 to 796 of the family's 1533-position model. The record is from RNAcentral.